UGGAUCCAGACUUUGAUUCUGGCUCAGGAUGAACGCUAGCUACAGGCUUAACACAUGCAAGUCGAGGGGAAACGAUAUUGGAAGCUUGCUUCCGAUAGGCGUCGACCGGCGCACGGGUGAGUAACGCGUAUCCAACCUGCCCAUCACUUGGGGAUAACCUUGCGAAAGUAAGACUAAUACCCAAUGACGUCUCUAGAAGACAUCUGAAGGAGAUUAAAGAUUUAUCGGUGAUGGAUGGGGAUGCGUCUGAUUAGCUUGUUGGCGGGGUAACGGCCCACCAAGGCGACGAUCAGUAGGGGUUCUGAGAGGAAGGUCCCCCACAUUGGAACUGAGACACGGUCCAAACUCCUACGGGAGGCAGCAGUGAGGAAUAUUGGUCAAUGGACGAGAGUCUGAACCAGCCAAGUAGCGUGCAGGAUGACGGCCCUAUGGGUUGUAAACUGCUUUUAUAAGGGAAUAAAGUGAGCUACGUGUAGCUUUUUGCAUGUACCUUAUGAAUAAGGACCGGCUAAUUCCGUGCCAGCAGCCGCGGUAAUACGGAAGGUCCGGGCGUUAUCCGGAUUUAUUGGGUUUAAAGGGAGCGUAGGCCGGAGAUUAAGCGUGUUGUGAAAUGUAGAUGCUCAACAUCUGCACUGCAGCGCGAACUGGUUUCCUUGAGUACGCACAAAGUGGGCGGAAUCCGUGGUGUAGCGGUGAAAUGCUUAGAUAUCACGAAGAACUCCGAUUGCGAAGGCAGCUCACUGGAGCGCAACUGACGCUGAAGCUCGAAAGUGCGGGUAUCGAACAGGAUUAGAUACCCUGGUAGUCCGCACGGUAAACGAUGGAUGCCCGCUGUUGGUCUGAAUAGGUCAGCGGCCAAGCGAAAGCAUUAAGCAUCCCACCUGGGGAGUACGCCGGCAACGGUGCAACUCAAAGGAAUUGACGGA
Molecule: ribosomal RNA, 926 nt
Filed under: uncultured organism
Description: bacterial SSU rRNA
Rfam family: Bacterial small subunit ribosomal RNA
Source: RNAcentral